AUUAAUUCGAUGCAACGCGAAGAACCUUACCUGGGCUUGACAUACACCAGAUCGUCGUAGAGAUACGGUUUCCCUUUGUGGUUGGUGUACAGGUGGUGCAUGGUUGUCGUCAGCUCGUGUCGUGAGAUGUUGGGUUAAGUCCCGCAACGAGCGCAACCCUUGUCUUAUGUUGCCAGCAAUUUGGUUGGGGACUCGUGAGAGACUGCCGGGGUUAACUCGGAGGAAGGUGGGGAUGACGUCAAAUCAUCAUGCCCCUUAUGUCCAGGGCUUCACACAUGCUACAAUGGUCGGUACAACGCGUUUGCGAGCCUGUGAGGGUGAGCUAAUCGCUGAAAGCCGGUCGUAGUUCGGAUUGGGGUCUGCAACUCGACCCCAUGAAGUCGGAGUCGCUAGUAAUCGCAGAUCAGCAACGCUG
This 415-nucleotide ribosomal RNA is filed under the name uncultured bacterium. RNAcentral describes it as "bacterial SSU rRNA". It matches the Rfam family "Bacterial small subunit ribosomal RNA", at positions 945 to 1359 of the family's 1533-position model. The record is from RNAcentral.